This 253-nucleotide ribosomal RNA is filed under the name uncultured prokaryote. Its description in RNAcentral is "partial 16S ribosomal RNA". It matches the Rfam family "Bacterial small subunit ribosomal RNA", at positions 525 to 777 of the family's 1533-position model. The record is from RNAcentral.
ACGUAGGGUGCAAGCGUUGUCCGGAAUUAUUGGGCGUAAAGAGCUCGUAGGCGGUCUGUCGCGUCGGAUGUGAAAAUCCAGGGCUCAACCCUGGACCUGCAUUCGAUACGGGCAGACUAGAGUUCGGUAGGGGAGACUGGAAUUCCUGGUGUAGCGGUGAAAUGCGUAGAUAUCGAGAGGAACACCUGCGGCGAAGGCGGGUUGCUGGGCUGACACUGACGCUGAGGCGCGAAAGCUAGGGGAGCGAACGGGA